AGCGAACGCUGGCGGCAGGCCUAACACAUGCAAGUCGAACGAACUCUUCGGAGUUAGUGGCGGACGGGUGAGUAACACGUGGGAACGUGCCUUUUGGUUCGGAAUAACUCAGGGAAACUUGUGCUAAUACCGAAUGUGCCCUUCGGGGGAAAGAUUUAUCGCCAUUAGAGCGGCCCGCGUCUGAUUAGCUAGUUGGUGAGGUAACGGCUCACCAAGGCGACGAUCAGUAGCUGGUCUGAGAGGAUGACCAGCCACACUGGGACUGAGACACGGCCCAGACUCCUACGGGAGGCAGCAGUGGGGAAUCUUGCGCAAUGGGCGAAAGCCUGAGGCAGCCAUGCCGCGUGAAUGAUGAAGGUCUUAGGAUUGUAAAAUUCUUUCACCGGGGACGAUAAUGACGGUACCCGGAGAAGAAGCCCCGGCUAACUUCGUG
RNAcentral lists this ribosomal RNA (433 nucleotides) under uncultured bacterium. RNAcentral's name for it is "partial 16S ribosomal RNA". It matches the Rfam family "Bacterial small subunit ribosomal RNA", at positions 29 to 507 of the family's 1533-position model. The record is from RNAcentral.